This 492-nucleotide ribosomal RNA is filed under the name uncultured bacterium. RNAcentral's name for it is "partial 16S ribosomal RNA". It matches the Rfam family "Bacterial small subunit ribosomal RNA", at positions 29 to 507 of the family's 1533-position model. The record is from RNAcentral.
AGUGAACGCUGGCGGUAGGCCUAACAUAUGCAAGUCGAACGGCAGCACAGUAAGAGCUUGCUCUUACGGGUGGCGAGUGGCGGACGGGUGAGGAAUACAUCGGAAUCUACUUUUUCGUGGGGGAUAACGUAGGGAAACUUACGCUAAUACCGCAUACGACCUACGGGUGAAAGUAGGGGAUCUUCGGACCUUGCGCGAUUGAAUGAGCCGAUGUCGGAUUAGCUAGUUGGCGGGGUAAAGGCCCACCAAGGCGACGAUCCGUAGCUGGUCUGAGAGGAUGAUCAGCCACACUGGAACUGAGACACGGUCCAGACUCCUACGGGAGGCAGCAGUGGGGAAUAUUGGACAAUGGGCGCAAGCCUGAUCCAGCCAUACCGCGUGGGUGAAGAAGGCCUUCGGGUUGUAAAGCCCUUUUGUUGGGAAAGAAAAGCAGCAGGUUAAUACCCCGCUGUUCUGACGGUACCCAAAGAAUAAGCACCGGCUAACUUCGUG